Molecule: ribosomal RNA, 305 nt
Filed under: uncultured bacterium
Lineage: Bacteria
Description: bacterial SSU rRNA
Rfam family: Bacterial small subunit ribosomal RNA
Source: RNAcentral
UAUGCCUACGGGGGGCGGCAGUGGGGAAUAUUGGGCAAUGGGCGCAAGCCUUACCCAGCAAUACCGCGUGAGUGAAGAAGGUCUUCGGAUUGUAAAGCUCUUUGAUCAGGGACGAACAGAUGACGGUACCUGAAGAACAAGCCCCGGCUAACUACGUGCCAGCAGCCGCGGUAAAACGUAGGGGGCGAGCGUUGUCCGGAAUGACUGGGCGUAAAGGGUGCGUAGGCGGAUUGAUAAGUUAGAGGUGAAAUGUCCGAGCUUAACUCGGGAACUGCCUCUAAUACUGUUGAUCUAGAGAGUAGAUG